GGCGAACGCUGGCGGCGUGCUUAACACAUGCAAGUCGAACGGAAAGGCCCUGCUUGCAGGGUGCUCGAGUGGCGAACGGGUGAGUAACACGUGGGUGAUCUGCCCCUUAUUUUGGGAUAAGCCUGGGAAACUGGGUCUAAUACUGGAUAGGACCAUGCUGUAGGUGGUGUGGUGGAAACAUUAGUUUCGGUAAGGGAUGAGCUCGCGGCCUAUCAGCUUGUUGGUGGGGUAAUGGCCUACCAAGGCGUCGACGGGUAGCCGGCCUGAGAGGGUGGACGGCCACAUUGGGACUGAGAUACGGCCCAGACUCCUACGGGAGGCAGCAGUGGGGAAUAUUGCACAAUGGGCGCAAGCCUGAUGCAGCGACGCCGCGUGGGGGAUGACGGCCUUCGGGUUGUAAACUCCUUUCAGCCAUGACGAAGCCCUUGUGGUGACGGUAGUGGUAGAAGAAGCACCGGCUAACUACGUG
RNAcentral lists this ribosomal RNA (469 nucleotides) under uncultured bacterium. Its description in RNAcentral is "partial 16S ribosomal RNA". It matches the Rfam family "Bacterial small subunit ribosomal RNA", at positions 28 to 507 of the family's 1533-position model. The record is from RNAcentral.